AGUAGGGAAUAUUGGACAAUGGGCGCAAGCCUGAUCCAGCCAUGCCGCGUGAGUGAAGAAGGCCCUCGGGUUGUAAAGCUCUUUUGUCCGGAAAGAAAAGCAUUCGGUUAAUACCCGAGUGUUCUGACGGUACCGGAAGAAUAAGCACCGGCUAACUUCGUGCCAGCAGCCGCGGUAAUACGAAGGGUGCAAGCGUUACUCGGAAUUACUGGGCGUAAAGCGUGCGUAGGUGGUUUGUUAAGUCUGAUGUGAAAGCCCUGGGCUCAACCUGGGAAUGGCAUUGGAUACUGGCGAGCUAGAGUGCGGUAGAGGAUAGUGGAAUUCCUGGUGUAGCAGUGAAAUGCGUAGAGAUCAGGAGGAACAUCCGUGGCGAAGGCGACUGUCUGGACCAGCACUGACACUGAGGCACGAAAGCGUGGGGAGCAAA
This 427-nucleotide ribosomal RNA is filed under the name uncultured Thermomonas sp. Its description in RNAcentral is "bacterial SSU rRNA". It matches the Rfam family "Bacterial small subunit ribosomal RNA", at positions 353 to 772 of the family's 1533-position model. Lineage: Bacteria; Pseudomonadati; Pseudomonadota; Gammaproteobacteria; Lysobacterales; Lysobacteraceae. The record is from RNAcentral.